RNAcentral lists this ribosomal RNA (396 nucleotides) under Chlamydomonas raudensis. Its description in RNAcentral is "partial small subunit ribosomal RNA". It matches the Rfam family "Eukaryotic small subunit ribosomal RNA", at positions 30 to 432 of the family's 1831-position model. The record is from RNAcentral. Lineage: Eukaryota; Viridiplantae; Chlorophyta; Chlorophyceae; Chlamydomonadales; Chlamydomonadaceae.
GCUUGUCUCAAAGAUUAAGCCAUGCAUGUCUAAGUAUAGUACCUUAUACUGCGAAACUGCGAAUGGCUCAUUAAAUCAGUUAUAAUUCAUUUGAUGGUACUUACUACUCGGAUAACCGUAGUAAUUCUAGAGCUAAUACGUGCGUAAAUCCCGACUUCUGGAAGGGACGUAUUUAUUAGAUAAAAGGCCAGCCGGGUUUCGGCCCGUUCUUUGGCGACUCAUGAUAACUUCUCGAAUCGGAGGCUUGCCUCCGAUAGUUCAUUCAAAUUUCUGCCCUAUCAGCUUUCGACGGUAGUGUAGUGGACUACCGUGGCGUUAACGGGUAACGGAGAAUUAGGGUUCGAUUCCGGAGAGGGAGCCUGAGAAACGGCUACCACAUCCAAGGAAGGCAGCAGG